GCUGGGAUUAUAGGCGUGAGCCACCACACCUGGCCUGAAACAUGGGUUCUAUUCCCCUGGGCUCACCAAGGGCUGCAGGGGGUCUGAGAUCUCUGUGAGAUGGGGAGU
Molecule: long non-coding RNA, 108 nt
Organism: Sapajus apella (tufted capuchin)
Lineage: Eukaryota; Metazoa; Chordata; Mammalia; Primates; Cebidae
Exons: 3
Source: RefSeq, a predicted model, not a curated record